AGGCUGGGACACAGGGCACCAAGUCCCUAGGUUGCACACAGCACAGGGACCCUGGGGCCAGCCCAUGAAACCACUUUUUCCUCCUGGGCCUCCAGGCCUGUGAUGGGAGAGGCUGUCCUGAAGGUCUCUGACAUGCCCUGGAGACAUUUUCCCCAUGUUGCCAAAGCCAUUCAACAAGUCUCUAGGAGUUCCAAACUUUCCCACAUUUUCCUAUCUUCUUCUGAGCCCUCCACGCUCCUGUCCCGGUCCCUUCUCAGCUCAAGUCACACAUGUGCUAAGAGGCUUUUGGCUCCAAGUGGCUGGUAGACAUUGGCUGACAGAUUUGGGAUCUGAUAAGAGGCUGUUGAUUUCAUUCGUUUGUGCAAUGUCGGAGAUAAAUUUUAACAGUUAAAACAGGGAAGAAGAAUAAAAA
Molecule: long non-coding RNA, 412 nt
Filed under: Homo sapiens (human)
Lineage: Eukaryota; Metazoa; Chordata; Mammalia; Primates; Hominidae
Description: non-protein coding lnc-FARS2-3:1
Source: RNAcentral